This 147-nucleotide small nucleolar RNA is filed under the name Propithecus coquereli (Coquerel's sifaka). Its description in RNAcentral is "Small nucleolar RNA SNORA31 (ENSPCOG00000006607.1)". The record is from RNAcentral. Lineage: Eukaryota; Metazoa; Chordata; Mammalia; Primates; Indriidae.
AUGCAUGUCAGCUGACUCCUUGCAGAUACCGAAAACCAAGAAUUUACUUAAGGAUGACAGUCCACACUACAGAUGCAUGAAAAAAGUGUCCUCGUGCUUUCUGACUGUCUGACUGUGGCAGCUAAGAUGGAAUAGAGGAAUACAGUG